AUUGAACGCUGGCGGCAUGCCUUACACAUGCAAGUCGAACGGCAGCACGGGAGCAAUCCUGGUGGCGAGUGGCGAACGGGUGAGUAAUAUAUCGGAACGUGCCCAGUCGUGGGGAUAACGUAGCGAAAGCUACGCUAAUACCGCAUACGAUCUAUGGAUGAAAGCGGGGGAUCGCAAGACCUCGCGCGAUUGGAGCGGCCGGAUAUCAGAUUAGGUAGUUGGUGAGGUAAAGGCUCACCAAGCCGACGAUCUGUAGCUGGUCUGAGAGGACGACCAGCACACUGGGACUGAGACACGGCCCAGACUCCUACGGGAGGCAGCAGUGGGGAAUUUUGGU
Molecule: ribosomal RNA, 337 nt
Filed under: uncultured bacterium
Lineage: Bacteria
Description: bacterial SSU rRNA
Rfam family: Bacterial small subunit ribosomal RNA
Source: RNAcentral